Equus asinus (donkey) is the source of this 1006-nucleotide long non-coding RNA. The record is from Ensembl. Lineage: Eukaryota; Metazoa; Chordata; Mammalia; Perissodactyla; Equidae.
GUGAUGCUGCUGACAAGGGACCACAAACAUCUCCCACAAGGAGGAGGAAGAGAAAGAAGAACAGUGCAGUUAGAAGUCACUUUAGAGUUCUUUUAGACCAGAUUCUUAUGUUUAGAUAAGAAAAUGAGAGCCAAAGUGGCACAAUGGAGUGGAAAAGAGCACUGAACCAGAGUUUGAGAGACAUGAACACCCUGGUUCUCACACAAAAAAGAACUGUUAGUAGAGGGUGCUGUCAGGGCAGCUGUCUUUAGCACUCCCUCCCCACCGCCAGAACUGGGAUAACCUCUUCCUUAAAUGUAUUUGUUAGAUACUUGAAUUUAUUAAGGAUCCAUUCCUUCUCAGUUACGUGCUACAUUUUUCAUUGAGGCUGCAGUGGCUCUCAUUGCAAAUGCAGCCACCUGGUGACAGCGAAUUCGUAUUUGAGAAAGCUGGUCAGAAGAGGGUUGAGUUCUGAUCUGGAGAGCUGGCCGGGCCCAGAAAAAUCUAAGGCUGUUAGAACAAAAUAAAGAGAUUCUGCCUCGGGAAGGGAUGGGGCGGAGGAAGGAGUGUCAUUCAAACCUCAGACUAACACUCAUCUGAGCUGAGAGAGCAAACGUGAGGGACUUGCUCCCUCCCGAGUGCAGGUCUGAGGAAGAGAGGAAUGCAGAGGGUUCCGCUGGCAGGGCUAAGAGAGUCAACAACCAGCCCGCAGGGGCCAGGUGGCAGCUGGGAGAAAAGUUCGGACUUGCUUUUGGGAAGAUUUAUACCUAGAACACCCCUGGAAAGAAUCUGGCAUCCUCCGGACUCAGGAUGAGGAAAGGUGGCAGAGCUAACCAGAAUGAAACACAAGAUUGACAUUUUUUAUUCUGACCUGUGGUGACCAAACGAAGCCCUGAGUCAUAAGAUGCCCUUCCUCUGUGCCUGUGUGGAAGCGCAGGACUGAAGAUGGGUGGCUAUUGUGAACGGCAUCUUUUUCCCAUUGUAUUUUUCAUUACUUAUAUGCAAUAAAGCUCUAGAUUUUUAUAUA